UUCUCUCUUUCGGGAGUUUGCGGGGGUUUUAGCGUCUCCCUUCAUCUCCGCAACCAAUCCCAUUUGCCGCUCCUCUCCCUUUCUUCUCCUGCUCCAACCCCUGGCGAUCCGCAAUCUUUUAUAAUCAUUCUUUUCCAUCGAUAGAUUCGCUAAAUCCUCUGCCUCCAAGCCCUUUUCUCUCUUGCUAUGGAUGUUUCGAGUGCUCCGGUCCUCAAAACCACCAAUUUUUUCUGCAGAGUUUCUUCUCUCCGAUCCAAUCCUACGUAUGUAACCCUCUUUAAGAAGAAUCCACCAAGGAAAGGCGCGGGUCAUUUCGUUGAUUUCUCAAAAAUCCCAUCCUGGAGACCUUCAGCCGCUUCCAUCAGAGGAGCUUUACGAAUUUCCGCCCAUUUUCGGAGGCCUUCGAGGCGUCGGAACACUCUCAGAGAGAAACUCAAUUCAUACGGAGAAGAACAGAAGGUAAGUAAGGUUACUGAACUCUUAAACCUUGAUUCCAAUUUGGAGGAUUCAAACUAUAUCAAUGGUGAAACAAAGACAGAUAAUUCUGAGUCAAGUUCGAAUUUUGAUAGCGAGAGAGGAGUGGUUGAUAAUUGUAGUUCAGAGAACCAAAAUAUCUCUGGGAAUCCAGUUUUGUGGAAUAAAUUGGAGAAAUGGAUCGAGCAGUACAAGAAAGAUUCGGAGUUUUGGGGAGUCGGUGCAGGUCCUAUAUUCACUAUUUAUCAAGAUACUGAUGGGAAAGUUAGCCGGGUUUCAGUAAGUGAGGAUGAAAUUACUAAAAGGAGCCAAAUCCCAGUAUGGUCUCUUGAAGAAAAAGAAUCAAUAGAAGAAUUUAUGGAUGUGAACUCUAAGAUUUCACAUGCUAAACUCAUUGCUAAACAGAUUGAAAGUGGUGAGUAUGUGCUCCCAAGAAGUAGUUCGAUCGCUAAGUUUGUGGUUGAGGGGAAAAAAUUCACUUUUGCUGAUGGUCUUCGGUCUAUCUCUCUUCAGAGUGGGCCAACUUUGAAAAUCUUCCCUCAGAUUGGAUUCAUGGUAUUGUGUGGUUGCUGUGUUUUCUGGGCCAUGUCAAAGUUGUUUGUGGGAAAUCACAAGGUGGAGCUGACAAGGCAAGAGGUUGAGAUGCUGAGGAGAAAGAAAAAAUCAAGACUGGAGAGGGAGGAGAUGGAGAAGGGCGGCGUCAAAGUUGUUGGGGAUGAACCAGAGUUCCCAACCACCAGAAGGCCUCAGUUGGAUAAGAAUGAACUGAUGAAGGACAUUAUGCAAGCCAAGGCAUCUACAGAGAAAUUGGCUAUAACAGAUGUCUCUAGUCAUUUUUCUGCUAUCAGUCCUGACUUUGAUGAUAAAGUUAGGGAAAUCAGAAAGAUGCAAAGGAAGGUUCGUGAAUUAGAGCAACAGGAUCAUUCCCAAAAUGAUAAGAAAGGUGAAGAAUAUGGUGUAGCUUCUAUUCUGUUGGGUGCAAAAGAUCAAAAUGCUAGUAAUGAAAAUAAUGCUAAUGCAGAAGCUGCAUCGAUAAAGGAAGGUUCAAAUCAUGACAGGACUUCUGAUAUCAAUCUGCUUGAAGACCAGGAAAAAAAUGGGAGAUUUUCUGUGGAUAUUGAAAACAAGAAGCUGCUCAGAGAAAAUAACAUGGGUAAUAUGAAUGACACUCCAGGUGGAGAAUCAUUAAACACCUUUGCAAACAGCAAACCUAUCACCACUGUUAAGGCGGAUGAUCAAAAUGAAGAGAAGACAACAUGCUCAAUGGAUGGAAAAUCUGUUGAGGUUGAUAUAGAACAUACUGUUCAUUCUGGUAGUACUAAUGUUUUUAGCAUUGUUGACUGGAUAAAUGAAGAGACAUCUGGGAAAAAGAAGGUGGAGAGUUCCAUAAUGGAAGAGAAAGAAUCUAACAGAAGUUCUUCUGAUUUUGUUAGAACCAGGCCAAAGAUUAUAAGGUCAGUGAAGGAAGCUAGAGAGUACCUAGCUCGAAAGCACAGGCCCCUACCAGGAAAAGCACAAGCUGAUCAGGAAAUGCAAGUUAAAGAUCUGGCAGCAAAAGCCAAUGGUUGCAUCUUUACUUAUGAUGACAAUCCUAUUGUAAGGUCAAGUCAGUCAAGUAGUGAGAGUUCUAAUGUUUCUGUGCCAAAUAAACUACAUCAUGGUAAUGUUUCUGACACUGGAUCAUAUGGCGAUGGUAGUAUGAUUAAGACUUCGUCUAUGACGAUGGAGAAUUCUGAAGCGCAAGGAGCAAAAACUGUGAAUAAUGGUGAUUAUAGAGGGAAAUCACUGAAGUCCCUAAAUGUUAAGGGAGGUGUGAACUCUCCAUUUUCAAACGAUUCUGAGAUCGGUAAGACGUUAAGCUCAAACAAAAUAUUGCUUGGAGGUGUUGCAGAACAUACUGUUUCUCCUACUAAUUCUAGCAUUUCAAGAAUGAACAAUCUGAGUGAUGAACAAAAACAUGUACAGGAUCACAUUGACAGUUGCAUCUUCCACACAUCUGACAAUAGUCAAGAAUCAGACCCCCAUAUUACCUAUUCUGAUAAAUCUACUUUAGGUGUUACUUCUGAUCUAUUAAUGUCUGGAAUGACCACGCCAUCCAAAAAUGAUGUAGUUUAUAAUUCUCAAAAAUCAGAGACUUUAACAGAAAAAGAGCAAAUUGGACCGAAAACACAACUUAGAAGACUUAAAAAUGUUAGAGUUAUUUGUGACACCAGAAAUAAUGAAGAUACAGAGGUCAGCAUGGGCAGGAUACUCAGUUUAGAAAGUAGAAUGGCUGGAUCGUCAACAUUAGACAUGACACAGAAUUUUACAACAUCGUCUGUCAGCUCUUCCAAGGAGUCCACCAUAAACAAGAAGGAAAUCAGAGAGGAUAAUUGUAGAUACUCUUCGUUUGGGGAUAACGUAUCUGGAGAGAAAAGAACAGCCAGGUCUCCUGAGACUGAAUUCAGUAAGUUCAAAGAAGCACAUGACACAAAAGUGCUUUCUAGGUCCGGAACAAACUUAUCACGUGAUUCUGAUGGAGCUGGCUGCCUAACUAAGGAAAAACAUCAAGAUGCUGAAAACAGUUGGGUCAACAAGAAUUUUCAGGAAUUUGAUCCUGUAAUUAAGAAGAUUGGGGUCGGCUUCAAAGAAAAUUACAUGGUGGCAAAAGAGAAGGUAAAAGAGCAGCAAGGUUUAAGUGCUGAUAUAAGUGAACUUGGAUUAAUGGAAGAGGAUGAGGAACUGGAAUGGAUGAAUGAUGAACAUCUUCGGGAGAUCGUAUUUCAAGUUAGACAGAAUGAGUUGGCUGGGCGGGAUCCUUUUCAUUUAAUGGAUCCUGAUGAUAAGCACACCUUCUUUGAGGGGCUCGAACGCAAAGCUGAGAAGGUGAACGAAAAGCUAUUGGGUUUGCAUGAGUGGGUCCACUCCAGGAUCGAAAACCUUGACUAUGGAGCAGAUGGCAUCAGCUUGGAUGAUCCAUUAGAAAAGAUAAUUCCUCGUUGGAAAGGUCCCGCAAUUGAUAAAAAUCCUCAGUUUCUUACCAAGCUCUCUGGAGAUCGGACUGCAAUUUUUGCUGAAAAGGGGGAUGCUCAGAAUAGCCUUCAAAAUAUGAAAGAGUCACCAAAUUCUAAUGGUGCUGUUUACUGUUCAUUUAAUGGUAAAAGGAAUAUGUCUCCUGAUAAGUCUUAUGCAAACCCCAAGACGCUUAUAGAGUGCAGUGAUGGUACAAGCAGACCUGGCAAAAAGACAGGGAAGGAACAGUGGCAGCAUACAAAGAAAUGGUCUGAAGCUUUCCUGGAAGUUUAUAAUGCAGAGACAAAUCCAGAAAUAAAAUCUAUUAUGAGGGAUAUGGGAAAGGAUUUAGACAGAUGGAUCACGCAGAAAGAAAUACAAGAUGUCGCUGACUGGAUGACAAGAAUACCUAAAAGGAAGCGGAGAUACAUAGAAAAGAAAAUGGAGAAAAUUAAAAGGGAAGUGGAAAUGUUUGGACCACAAGCAGUGGUUAGCAAGUACAGAGAAUAUUCAGAUGAAAAAGAAAAGGAUUACCUUUGGUGGUUGGAUCUUAAUUUCAUCCUGUGCAUUGAACUAUACACAGUUGAUGAUGGCAUCCCAAAGGUGGGAUUUUAUUCCUUAGAGAUGGCUCCAGACCUUGAACUAAAUCCAAAGCAGUAUCAUGUGAUUGCUUUUGCGGAUCCAGGAGAUUCAAAGAACUUCUGUUAUAUUGUCCAGGCUCAUAUGGAUAUGCUUGGAAGUGGCAGAGCUUUUGUCAUUGCUCGACCUCCAAAGGAUGCAUUUAGGGAAGCCAAAGCCAAUGGAUUUAGUGUUUCUGUGAUCAGGAAAGGGGAGGUCAAACUUAAUGUGGACCAAACACUAGAAGAAGUAGAGGAAGAAAUUACAGAGAUUGGAAGUAAAAUAUACCAUGAUAAGAUCAUGCAUGAACGAUCAGUUGAUAUUCGCACGUUAAUGAGGGGUGUAAUCACUGCUGAAAGAUCCACCAAGAGGUCAAAACAGGUGCCUACAAAGCUUGCUAAAUCCUAAAGACAUCAUCCAGAAUGGCACAAGGAAUCGCCAGCUUUAUUUUCCUUUAGAGAUACUUCUGCUGCAUAAAAUCCUUGUGAAAGAAAAGUUAGUACUAACUGUAAGGAUGAGUAGGUGCUAUUAUUUCCACAGUGACUACUUUCUGCUCUGUAACAUAGUCAACCCACCUUCUAAAUUGGUUUCUUUUAAUCAGCAGAAUUGCAUACUUUAUCCUUGUUGCCUUGAAUGUAAAUUGGUUUUUUAUAGUUUAGAAGUACUAGAAAAUUCGUUAUGUGGGUGAUAUAAUGAUUGUACUCUUUCAAACAUGGCAAACGUAUAUUCUAUUGCUUGGGCUGUUUCAAGUACGUCA
Non-coding RNA from Phoenix dactylifera (date palm), 4840 nucleotides. The record is from RefSeq and is a predicted model, not a curated record. Lineage: Eukaryota; Viridiplantae; Streptophyta; Magnoliopsida; Arecales; Arecaceae.